UACAGAGGUCCCAAGCGUUGUUCGGAUUCACUGGGCGUAAAGGGUGCGUAGGCGGCUGGGUAAGUCUGAUGUGAAAUCCCUGAGCUCAACUCAGGAACGGCAUUGGAUACUAUCUAGCUCGAGGUGUGGAGGGGGGACUGGAAUUCUCGGUGUAGCAGUGAAAUGCGUAGAGAUCGAGAGGAACACCAGUGGCGAAGGCGAGUCCCUGGACACCACCUGACGCUGAGGCACGAAAGCUAGGGGAGCAAACAGG
Molecule: ribosomal RNA, 253 nt
Filed under: uncultured bacterium
Lineage: Bacteria
Description: partial 16S ribosomal RNA
Rfam family: Bacterial small subunit ribosomal RNA
Source: RNAcentral